UUCUUUUAUUCUUGUUUGAGCCUCUAUUCUUCUUUGCCACCUCCUCUGCUCUUUUCUGUUUAACACCCUUGGAAAUCUCAAGACCCUACUGUUUGAGAUGUGAUUGCUGUGGAAUGUGUUAUUACCGUCUCUCACCCAGACCAUUGUAAUAACCUCCUAAAUAAUCUCCGCUCCUUUCUCUCCCUUUGGAGAGGAAACAAUAUUAUUAUUUUGUAUUAUUAUUCAAAAUCUUUGUAUGUCUUUGUUAGGGUUUCCCUCCUCCCUGUGGGAGAAUUGUGCUCUUGUCUUUUGAUGUCGGACUUGACCCCAUGAUUUCCUCUGGUCAAUGAAAUGUAAUUAGAAGUAACUCAGGGCACUUGUGAGCAGAAGGUUUAAGAGGCAGCACCUGGUUCACUCUGUCUUUUUCCCUUCGCUAUGAGACUGGCAAGGUUCCAGAUAGCAACUGUUCUAGCAGCCAGGGUCCUGGAGAGAAGUCAACAUGAAGCAGAGCCACAGAUACGCCACAGAUAAGCUUAUGUAAUGAAGACACUUUCGGGAACUUUAAAAGAUGCCUACCACCAUUUGUCUCUCAUGAAGAUGUGAACUGCGACUGGAAACAGCUCAGUCUCUCACAGAUAGGAUCUCGCUGAUGCCCUGGAUACUGCCACAAGGGAUUCGCGUGGGCUGGAGUGCAGUAGCACCAUCACAGCUCACUGCAGCUGCAGGAUCACAGUUCAUUGCCCCUUCAACUUCCUGGCCUCAAGCCAUCCUUCUGCCUUGGCCUCCUGAGUAGCUUGGACUACUGGUGCUAGCCACCAUGCCCAGGAGGAUGAAAUUUAACCACAUCAAAGAAACCUACAGCUCUGAUACUCUCAGAAAAAAUAAGACUCAACACAAAGAGAGUAAAAAGAGUUAUUCUGUCAACGAAGGGUCUUGACCGAAUAAUGUAUACAUCAGAUCUUUUCAUCUUGCACUUCUUGGACACUGUGAUUCAAAAGGGAGAUUAUUUGUGUCAGUAAAGAAGUAUCCAUAAUGAUAAAACACAAGUACUUCAAAGAACAACCUGUGCUUCUCAAAAGGAAAAUAGUUUGGAUCCAUUUACUUUUCUCCUCUACUUCACAUUCUAAAUGACUGAGAAAAUGUCUUCUCGUUUUCAAUACAACCCAUGGGAAAUCAUACUCAAAUAAGUAGUAACUGAAUGAACUAAUCUGGAAAAGUGGUCCUCAAUUUGUUUCUGUAAUAUCAGCUAUCACAAUACUGCCUUGAUAUUUCAUACAAUUCUGCAGAGUAUAAAAAAGCAAAAGCCUCUAAAAGUUGGUACUAGAAUGUACUACACGCUCAAUAUAGACCACAAAAUGGAUCAGACAUGAAGCUUAGUAUUGUCUGUGUGCACAGUGUUUAAAUAUUCCCUUGUUUUAAAAGUGCCAGUGUUUGUUAAGUAACUUAAAAUAUUUGCCACAUGUAGCUUAUUUUUUUUACUUUUUAUUAUAUUUUUGUCAUAGGUAAAAAAGUGAAAAGAUUUAUGACAGUCAUUUUUUUAAAACUAAGUUAAGCUAUAUAAAUUGUUGUGAAAUAAAAUACAUUUUAAUUAUAUACAAUAAAGAUCCUAAUUUUAAUUUGCAAGUAUUUUCAAGAUUACAAGUAACGUUAUCAAUUGUUUUACUUAUAACAAUAUUCCUAGGGUGUCUACAUUUAAUAAUUCUAAGUUUUUAAAACAAUUUUAAACUAUUUCAUUUAACAGACAAUACAAACUAACUAAGAUAAAUUGAGAAAUAUAAAUAUCCCUCACCUGUGUUUUUAAAAUUAGAGACAACUUUUGUAUCAUUCCAGAUAUAAUUUAUACCUAUAUAAAUGUGUUUAUUUUAAAUGUGCCAUUUAAAAGAACUGGUUUAUGCUUUGAAAUGGCUGCAUAAUAUUCUACUCUACCUAGAUACCAUUAAAUAUUGAAUCAGCUCUCUAUUGUGUGUUUUUUGCUGUUGUUACUGACAGAUUUUGUAAUUACAAUGCAGAUUAAAAACUUGUUUUAAAAAAUGUGAUUUUGCUCAUAGACAUAUGUCUUUAGAAUACAUUCGUCAUAGUACAAUUGCUGAGACAAAGAGUUUACGCAUUUGGAAAUUUUAUAAAUAUUAUCACAUUGCUUUCUAUCAAUAUCAUCUCACAAGUAUAAUGACAAGUGAAAGAUACUAGGUAUGAACAUUUAUGUAGUAUUCAAAAGCAGAUAAGUUUAUUACCCUGUCAGAAGAUAGCAAAAUGAUUAACUUUAUGAAGGUUUCAAGCACUUAGUUUGAGGGAAGGCAGGAUAGGCAGUUUCAUGAGAAAGGUAUGUCCCAUCUCUUGAUCAGGGUGAAGUUUAAAUGGAGUUGUUUCCUUGAUGAUGCAUCAAAGUCACCACUUGAAAUUUGAUUACUUUUUAAUAUAUGCUAUACUUCAAAAUGUUUAUUAACAUGCAAAUCAUAUAAUGAAUUCCAUUAAUUUAGUGAGAGAAAUUUUUUUUAUAUGCUUCGAAGUCAUUUGUUUUGUUGUUUGCGUUUACUCAGAACAGUGUGUCAAUCUCCUUGACUGAUAUUUCUAUUGUUUCUAGCAGGUCAUUUAAUAGUUUAUAAUGUUUAUAUUUUCAAAGUUUAUUGGGGUGUAAUUUAUUUAUAAUACUGUACAUAUUUAAAGUUCAAAAUAAGUUAAGCCUUAACAUGUAUAUACAGCCAUGAACACAUAACCAUAAAGUAGGUCCUAAAUAUAUUCACCACUCACAAAUGUUUCCUUGUGAACCUUUGUCAUUCCACCCGCCCUUACUUCUUCCGCAUAAUCUCCAUCUAUAGCAACUACCAAUCUAUUUUCUGUUAUUAUAAAUUAAUGUGCAUUUUCUGGAAUUUUAUAUAAAUGGAAUCAUAUCAUAUGUACUUUGUUUUGUCUUGUUUUUUCAGUAAAAUUAUUUUGAGAUUCAUACAUGUUGUUACAUGUAUCAAUAGUUCAUUACUUUUUAUUGUUGAGUAGUAUUUCAUCAUAUGGAUAUGCCACAAUGUGUUCACACCUUAACAUAAAUUUGUCAAUGUAGUUUCCAGUCAUUGGUUAUUAAAUAUAAAGUUUCUUGAAAACUGAUCUAUAAGUAUUGAUAUGGAAUGUGAUUUCUUUUCUCUUGGGUAAAUUCCUGGAAGAAAAUUGGUUCUAUCAAAUGGUGUUUGCAUGUUUAACAGUUAUAGCCAAACCAUUUUCCAAAGUGGUUGUAAUAUUUUACAUUCCUCACAGCAGUGUAUGAGAAAUCAAAUUGUUCCAAAAGUUUGCUAAGACUUGUACAUUUAGAUGUAUCACCAAUUUUGGGUAAAUUUUUGUACUAAUUGUGAGUUGCAAUUGAGGUUCACUUUUUUAUAUGGAUACUCCUUUUUUUACACAAUACAUGUUGAAAGCAUCACCUUGUAUUAAUUGAACUGCCUUUGCAUCUUAUUAAAAUCAGUUUCAAUAUAUGUGAGGUUCUAUUUCUGAACUCUAUUCUCUGUUACAUUGAUUUAUGUGAACACUUUUUCACUGAAGCCACACUAUUUUGAGAACUGUAGUCUUGAAAUUGAGUAUUGGUAAUCCUCUAAAUGUGUUUGUUUUUAUAAAAAUUGUUUUGGCUAUUUAGAUCACUUUGCCAUUCAAAUAAAAUUUAAAAUCUGCUUGUUGAUAGCUACAGAAAAGUUACUGGCAUUUUAACUAGGAAUACAUUAAACUUAUAGAUAAGAUUGAGGAGAAUUGCCAUUUUAUUCUUCCAAUUAAUGGCUAUAUUACAUG
RNAcentral lists this long non-coding RNA (3744 nucleotides) under Homo sapiens (human). RNAcentral's name for it is "HSALNT0044401". Lineage: Eukaryota; Metazoa; Chordata; Mammalia; Primates; Hominidae. The record is from RNAcentral.